RNAcentral lists this ribosomal RNA (545 nucleotides) under fungal endophyte sp. P514B. RNAcentral's name for it is "eukaryotic LSU rRNA". The stretch from base 179 to 332 matches the Rfam family "5.8S ribosomal RNA". Lineage: Eukaryota; Fungi. The record is from RNAcentral.
UUCCGUAGGUGAACCUGCGGAGGGAUCAUUACCGAGUUUACAACUCCCAAACCCCUGUGAACAUACCUAUUGUUGCCUCGGCGGAUCAGCCCGGCCCCGGUAAAACGGGACGGCCCGCCAGAGGACCCUAAACUCUGUUUUUAGUGUAACUUCUGAGUAAAACAAACAAAUAAAUCAAAACUUUCAACAACGGAUCUCUUGGUUCUGGCAUCGAUGAAGAACGCAGCAAAAUGCGAUAAGUAAUGUGAAUUGCAGAAUUCAGUGAAUCAUCGAAUCUUUGAACGCACAUUGCGCCCGCCAGUAUUCUGGCGGGCAUGCCUGUUCGAGCGUCAUUUCAACCCUCAAGCACAGCUUGGUGUUGGGAUUCGUGGAGCAAUCCACGGUCCCCAAAUCUAUUGGCGGUCACGUCGAGCUUCCAUAGCGUAGUAAUUACACCUCGUUACUGGUAAUCGUCGCGGCCACGCCGUUAAACCCCAACUUCUGAAUGUUGACCUCGGAUCAGGUAGGAAUACCCGCUGAACUUAAGCAUAUCAAUAAGCGGAGGA